RNAcentral lists this ribosomal RNA (253 nucleotides) under uncultured bacterium. RNAcentral's name for it is "partial 16S ribosomal RNA". It matches the Rfam family "Bacterial small subunit ribosomal RNA", at positions 524 to 776 of the family's 1533-position model. The record is from RNAcentral.
UACGAAGGUGGCAAGCGUUGUUCGGAUUUACUGGGCGUACAGGGAGCGUAGGUGGUCGUGUAAGCCCUCCGGGAAAUCUUCGGGCUUAACCCGGAAAGGUCGGAGGGGACUGCACGGCUAGAGGACGGGAGAGGAGCGCGGAAUUCCCGGUGUAGCGGUGAAAUGCGUAGAGAUCGGGAGGAAGGCCGGUGGCGAAGGCGGCGCUCUGGAACGUUCCUGACACUGAGGCUCGAAAGCGUGGGGAGCAAACAGG